UUAAGUUAAUAAGGGCGCACGGUGGAUGCCUUGGCACUAGGAGCCGACGAAGGACGUGACAAACGACGAUAUGCCUUGGGUAGCUGUAAGUAAGCGAUGAUCCAGGGAUUUCCGAAUGGGGGAACCCAACAGGUAAUACCUGUUACCUACAUCUGUUAAGGAUGUGAGGAGGAAGACGCAGUGAACUGAAACAUCUAAGUAGCUGCAGGAAGAGAAAGCAAAAGCGAUUGCCUUAGUAGCGGCGAGCGAAACGGCAGAAGGGCAAACCGAAGAGUUUACUCUUCGGGGUUGUAGGACUGCAAUGUGGACUCAAAGAUUAUAGAAGAAUGAUUUGGGAAGAUCAGCCAAAGAGAGUAAUAGCCUCGUAUUUAAAAUAGUCUUUGUACUUAGCAGUAUCCUGAGUACGGCGGGACACGUGAAAUCCCGUCGGAAUCUGGGAGGACCAUCUCCCAACCCUAAAUACUCCCUAGUGACCGAUAGUGAACCAGUACCGUGAGGGAAAGGUGAAAAGCACCCCGGGAGGGGAGGGAAAUAGAACCUGAAACCGUGUGCCUACAACAAGUUCGAGCCCGUUAAUGGGUGAGAGCGUGCCUUUUGUAGAAUGAACCGGCGAGUUACGUUAUGAUGCGAGUUUAAGUUGAAGAGACGGAGCCGUAGGGAAACCGAGUCUGAAUAGGGCGCCUUAGUAUCAUGACGUAGACCCGAAACCAUGUGACCUACCCAUGAGCAGGUUGAAGGUGCGGUAAGACGCACUGGAGGACCGAACCAGGGCACGUUGAAAAGUGCUUGGAUGACUUGUGGGUAGCGGAGAAAUUCCAAACGAACUUGGAGAUAGCUGGUUCUCUCCGAAAUAGCUUUAGGGCUAGCGUCGACAUUAGAGAUUCUUGGAGGUAGAGCACUGUUUGGGUGAGGGGUCCAUCCCGGAUUACCAAUCUCAGAUAAACUCCGAAUGCCAAUGAAUUAUGGUCGGCAGUCAGACUGCGAGUGCUAAGAUCCGUAGUCGAAAGGGAAACAGCCCAGACCACCAGCUAAGGUCCCAAAAUAAUUGUUAAGUGGAAAAGGAUGUGGGGUUGCACAGACAACUAGGAUGUUAGUUUAGAAGCAGCUAUUCAUUCAAAGAGUGCGUAAUAGCUCACUAGUCGAGUGACCCUGCGCCGAAAAUGUACCGGGGCUAAAACAAUUUACCGAAGCUGUGGAUACCUUUAUAGGUAUGGUAGGAGAGCGUUCUAUGUGUGAUGAAGGUAUACCGUGAGGAGUGCUGGAACGCAUAGAAGUGAGAAUGCCGGUAUGAGUAGCGAAAGACAGGUGAGAAUCCUGUCCACCGUAAGACUAAGGUUUCCAGGGGAAGGCUCGUCCGCCCUGGGUUAGUCGGGACCUAAGGAGAGACCGAAAGGUGUAUCCGAUGGACAACAGGUUGAUAUUCCUGUACUAGAGUAUGUAGUGAUGGAGGGACGCAGUAGGCUAACUAAAGCAGACGAUUGGAAGAGUCUGUCUAAGCAGUGAGGUGUGAAUUGAGUCAAAUGCUUAAUUCUAUAACAUUGAGCUGUGAUGGGGAGCGAAGUUUAGUAGCGAAGUUAGUGACGUCACACUGCCAAGAAAAGCUUCUAGCGUUUAAACAUACUCUACCCGUACCGCAAACCGACACAGGUAGUCGAGGCGAGUAGCCUCAGGUGAGCGAGAGAACUCUCGUUAAGGAACUCGGCAAAAUGACCCCGUAACUUCGGGAGAAGGGGUGCUGACUUUAAGUCAGCCGCAGUGAAUAGGCCCAAGCAACUGUUUAUCAAAAACACAGCUCUCUGCUAAAUCGUAAGAUGAUGUAUAGGGGGUGACGCCUGCCCGGUGCUGGAAGGUUAAGAGGAGUGCUUAGCGUAAGCGAAGGUAUGAAUUGAAGCCCCAGUAAACGGCGGCCGUAACUAUAACGGUCCUAAGGUAGCGAAAUUCCUUGUCGGGUAAGUUCCGACCCGCACGAAAGGCGUAAUGAUUUGGGCACUGUCUCAACGAGAGACUCGGUGAAAUUUUAGUACCUGUGAAGAUGCAGGUUACCCGCGACAGGACGGAAAGACCCCAUGGAGCUUUACUGCAGUUUGAUAUUGAGUGUCUGUACCACAUGUACAGGAUAGGUAGGAGUCUAAGAGAUCGGGACGCCAGUUUCGAAGGAGACGCUGUUGGGAUACUACCCUUGUGUUAUGGCCACUCUAACCCAGAUAGGUGAUCCCUAUCGGAGACAGUGUCUGACGGGCAGUUUGACUGGGGCGGUCGCCUCCUAAAAGGUAACGGAGGCGCCCAAAGGUUCCCUCAGAAUGGUUGGAAAUCAUUCGCAGAGUGUAAAGGUAUAAGGGAGCUUGACUGCGAGAGCUACAACUCGAGCAGGGACGAAAGUCGGGCUUAGUGAUCCGGUGGUUCCGUAUGGAAGGGCCAUCGCUCAACGGAUAAAAGCUACCCUGGGGAUAACAGGCUUAUCUCCCCCAAGAGUUCACAUCGACGGGGAGGUUUGGCACCUCGAUGUCGGCUCGUCGCAUCCUGGGGCUGUAGUCGGUCCCAAGGGUUGGGCUGUUCGCCCAUUAAAGCGGCACGCGAGCUGGGUUCAGAACGUCGUGAGACAGUUCGGUCCCUAUCCGUCGCGGGCGUAGGAAAUUUGAGAGGAUCUGCUCCUAGUACGAGAGGACCAGAGUGGACUUACCGCUGGUGUACCAGUUGUCUUGCCAAAGGCAUCGCUGGGUAGCUAUGUAGGGAAGGGAUAAACGCUGAAAGCAUCUAAGUGUGAAACCCACCUCAAGAUGAGAUUUCCCAUGAUUAUAUAUCAGUAAGAGCCCUGAGAGAUGAUCAGGUAGAUAGGUUAGAAGUGGAAGUGUGGCGACACAUGUAGCGGACUAAUACUAAUAGCUCGAGGACUUAUCCAA
This 2900-nucleotide ribosomal RNA is filed under the name Streptococcus pneumoniae. RNAcentral's name for it is "bacterial LSU rRNA". It matches the Rfam family "Bacterial large subunit ribosomal RNA". The record is from RNAcentral. Lineage: Bacteria; Bacillati; Bacillota; Bacilli; Lactobacillales; Streptococcaceae.